AGGACGAACGCUGGCGGCGUGCUUAACACAUGCAAGUCGAACGAUGAUGCUCCAGCUUGCUGGGGUGGAUUAGUGGCGAACGGGUGAGUAACACGUGAGUAACCUGCCCUUCACUUUGGGAUAAGCCUUGGAAACGGGGUCUAAUACCGGGUAUGCACAUACUGUCGCAUGGUGGUGUGUGGAAAGCUUUUGUGGUGGAGGAUGGACUCGCGGCCUAUCAGCUUGAUGGUGGGGUAGUGGCCUACCAUGGCUUUGACGGGUAGCCGGCCUGAGAGGGUGACCGGCCACACUGGGACUGAGACACGGCCCAGACUCCUACGGGAGGCAGCAGUGGGGAAUAUUGCACAAUGGGCGGAAGCCUGAUGCAGCGACGCCGCGUGGGGGAUGAAGGCUUUCGGGUCGUAAACUCCUUUCAGCAGGGACGAAGCUUUUGUGACGGUACCUGCAGAAGAAGCACCGGCUAACUACGUGCCAGCAGCCGCGGUAAUACGUAGGGUGCGAGCGUUGUCCGGAAUUAUUGGGCGUAAAGAGCUUGUAGGCGGUUUGUCGCGUCUGCCGUGAAAGCCCAGGGCUUAACCCUGGGUCUGCGGUGGGUACGGGCAGACUAGAGUGUGGUAGGGGAGACUGGAAUUCCUGGUGUAGCGGUGAAAUGCGCAGAUAUCAGGAGGAACACCGAUGGCGAAGGCAGGUCUCUGGGCCACUACUGACGCUGAGAAGCGAAAGCAUGGGGAGCAAACAGGAUUAGAUACCCUGGUAGUCCAUGCCG
Molecule: ribosomal RNA, 766 nt
Filed under: Dermacoccus sp.
Lineage: Bacteria; Bacillati; Actinomycetota; Actinomycetes; Micrococcales; Dermacoccaceae
Description: bacterial SSU rRNA
Rfam family: Bacterial small subunit ribosomal RNA
Source: RNAcentral